This is a non-coding RNA of Rattus norvegicus (Norway rat), 313 nucleotides long. The record is from RefSeq and is a predicted model, not a curated record. NCBI's taxonomy places the organism in Eukaryota, Metazoa, Chordata, Mammalia, Rodentia, Muridae.
CUGGAGACCACUGCCAAAGAAGGCAGUGGCAGCCCAUAUUAUGGACUUACAAAUGGUUUCUGGUAACAGCAUGGCCUAUAGACCUCAUGAUGGCUUGUACAUCCACAUGGCCUUUGGCAGUGACGCAGACUACAUGCAUCAACAUGGCCUCCAGUGGGAGCAUGGACCACAGAUAUCAACACAGACCCUGGAGACACUUCCAGCCUAGAAACCACCCUCUGCUCAGCUCAUUAAAGCACUUGCUUCAUUUUGCAGAAUGAAAUGUUCUCCAGUUCUGAAUUGAAAAUAAAGGGAAUUAAGUUAUUUAACUAAA